CCUACGGGAGGCAGCAGUGGGGAAUAUUGCACAAUGGGCGAAAGCCUGAUGCAGCAACGCCGCGUGAGCGAUGAAGGCUUUCGGGUCGUAAAGCUCUGUCCUCAAGGAAGAUAAUGACGGUACUUCAGGAGGAAGCCCCGGCUAACUAUGUGUCAGCAGCCGCGGUAAUACGUAGGGGGCUUGCGUUAUCCGGAAGUACGGGGCGAAAGGGGUGCGUAGGUGGUUUCUUAAGUCGGAGGUGAAAGGCUACGGCUAAACCGUAGUAAGCCUUUGAAACUGUGGAACUUGAGUGCAGGAGAGGAGAGGGGAAUUCCUAGUGUAGCGGUGAAAUGCGUAGAUAUUAGGAGGAACACCAGUUGCGAAGGCGGCUCUCUGGACUGUAACUGACGCUGAGGCACGAAAGCGUGGGGAGCAAACAGGAUUAGAUACCCCUGUAGUC
Molecule: ribosomal RNA, 439 nt
Filed under: uncultured bacterium
Lineage: Bacteria
Description: partial 16S ribosomal RNA
Rfam family: Bacterial small subunit ribosomal RNA
Source: RNAcentral